Pristis pectinata (smalltooth sawfish) is the source of this 586-nucleotide long non-coding RNA. RefSeq lists it as uncharacterized. The record is from RefSeq and is a predicted model, not a curated record. The transcript has 6 exons. NCBI's taxonomy places the organism in Eukaryota, Metazoa, Chordata, Chondrichthyes, Rhinopristiformes, Pristidae.
CGUACUCCCACGAAUUGUAACAUUUUUGCCAAAAAAAAAUACUUGCGUGCCAGGAAGAAAAACCUGAAGUAAAACAAACCAUUUGGUGUCAAAAAUCAUUGCUACUGUUGUGAUGGUCGAACACAUCCUGUGGGACUGCAAUUGCUCACUUAUUGGAGAUCAGAAUACUAAACAAGGUUUAGACAUGCUUUUUCUACAAUAAAGGAUGAAUUUUGCCUGUACUGCUUAAUUAUUUAUGGAGCUCAUCUACUCAUUAAAGUGAAAAAAGAUUGAAGCUAAGAUAAGAAUUUGAACAUGAAGAACAUGUGUUCUCUAAGUCAAUGGUAGCCAGAAGAACUGAAAGGAUGGAUUUGCCGUAAGGUGACGUCCUAAGGUUCAAGUCAAAGGAAUGAAGUUUCUUGGGGACCGUCUGCUUAAACAGCAUCGCGUGUUAUCUAAUUUGCAUGGUUUGGAUCCUAUGAGGAAGAAGCUGGUUUAAAUUCUAGAAAGAAUAAUUGGAAGGUAUGAAGUGAAUAUGCGCUUGCUUGGCAGCUCGCGUUAACUACAAGACUUUGAUUAGCAUCUGCGCUCUGUUUACCCUGGUCAC